Molecule: long non-coding RNA, 1800 nt
Organism: Cavia porcellus (domestic guinea pig)
Lineage: Eukaryota; Metazoa; Chordata; Mammalia; Rodentia; Caviidae
Exons: 3
Source: RefSeq, a predicted model, not a curated record
UUUCACGAAGCAGAGCCAAAACUUUUAUGGAGGACACGUAGGAAGUGCUUCCUCCUGACAAUGCCCACACGGUGAGAGAAAGCCACGUGCAUGCAGCAGUGAGACACCAUGCAGAAGGCCACUCUGAGCUUCUCUGGAGACAGGCAUACACAGAAGCACAAACUGCAGGGGUCAACGGCAACUGGUGUUCUCUACGGCUCUACUUCUUGCUGGUCCUGCAAGCUGCAGCACGUCACAUCAGCUUCCUGCAGCUCGGAGGCCUCAUCUAUAAAAUGGGGACAACAGCAGCAUGCAGUAUGCUGCAAAGAUUAAAUAAAAUGAUCUGUGUAAAAUGCUUACAGGAGAAUCUGGCAUGUGGGAAGGAUCAUUAUUUAUAACUGCUCUGACAGAGGCAUCAGUGAUCUCCAAGGACCUUCUGCCUCCUUGAAUGAUGAUGAAGGGAAGACGCAGGUGUCAGAGCCUUGGGCCUCAGACACAAAGUCACUUCAAAUCCUUAACUACUUAGCUUGUCUGCAGUUUGGCAUGGUCGGUUCAUCCUUCUCCACAGGAAAUGAGGGACACUAAGGCUAGCCAUCUUGACAACAGACUCAAAAUCCUGUGUUUUCUCCACUGCCCUACACUGCUCAAAAGAAUUUGGUGGUGAUGCCAGCAUAUUCUCUGGUCCUUACCAGAAGAGAAAAGAACAAUACUGCUACCCCGUGCCCUACCUUCUGAAGACUGAGAGACGGAUGAGCAUAAGAUCCACCUACUGGAAGAAAGUUAGCAUGGUACAUGAUUCCAUCCAGUACCCGACAGUAAUGGCAUCUUGAAUUGUCAUGGCUCCUUAGGUUCCUAUUGGCUGUGACUGUUUCUCAGCUUUUCCCUAGUUGUGAAACCUUGGAAGUUAAUAAAAAUGUCACUUGGGUAUUCUAUAACGUCCCUAAAAAUGGACUUCUUUGAUGCUUUGCUCACGAUUACCAUAGAUGGGAGUGUGGGCAUUGGGAGAGACUAUGGAGGUAAAGAUAAAUUUUCUUUCCAUCCUGUCAAAUGGACAUACUUUUGACAUAGCUUAUGCUGUUGAUGCAACUCUGCUCACCUGGCUGAAAUGCAUCUGCUGUGGUUUCCCGCUGGAAGCAUGCUCUCUGUCUUUAUGCUUAUCAUGCUAUUCUAUGCUCUGCAGAAAACAUGGGCCAUCUAUCCUGUGGCAAUGCCAUCUCAAAGUGAUGCAACUUUAAACUCUAACUCGCUCAAGCAGGAGUUAAUGGGUGAUUUACAGGUUCCAUAAACCUUGAUAAUCACUGAUGAGGCACCACCAGUCUACAAAAGCAAGUCAUUUCAGAGAUCUAUGAGUCUGGGGAGGAAAAACAAAGUAAACCUAAGAACAACCUGUGCAAAGGAUCAGAGGAAUGGAAGGAGGCAAAAUACUUUCAAGGGAUUGAAAGAAGAUCCAUGCAGCUGCAAUAAUGGGAAGAAGAGCAAAGGGAGUGGGAAGAGCUGGGAGAAUGGAGCAAGCAUCAGAGAGUUCAUGUGGAUGGGAAAUUUGAUCUUUGGAAUCAGAGGCUUUUCAUCAGGGAUACCAACCUGAUCAUAUAUGCAUCAUGGAACAUGGAUGUCAUGUGUAGACUCAGAGAAGAGCUGGUGAGGAGCCAAGGAAGAGGUGGAAGUGACAGAAGAUUGGGGUAGAGGACAGGCUAUUCCUGAUAGAAAUGGUGCUGGAGGGAAAGGGGGAGAAGGCUAAACUUUCCUGUAGCAGCUUCUGUGUUUGUGUGUUCUAUGUUUCUGUGUCAAUCUUUCUAAUAAAGAAGAUGUCUCUGGAUUGCA